GCAUUGUAUAUAAACCACUCACGUCUCAGUUAAAAGUAUCAGAUGCUCAUGCGAUCAAUCACGCGAUAGAAAAGGUCGCAAAAUUUCAUUUCUCUUUUCCGCAAGAGACACAAAACAAACACGUUUUAGCAUUGCAAAGUUAGUUCAAACCGCUCUUUACUUGGGAGUUUUUGUCCCUUUGUUCAGCUAUCGAAGACAUCAAACAGGGUUCAGCCGCGUUAAUGAAGUUGAAUACGUGCCACUCGUAACCGAAAGGACACUAAGUAAACUGUUCCAGCAGAUUCUUCACGCUUUAUUAGCGGACUAAGCUCUGCCACGGCCGAUGAAUAGAUUAGUUUGAGUCGGUUUGCUCCAGCAUCGUAAACAAGGUGCACGUUUACCAUGGUGAAAAUUUAAGGGCUUGAGACCCUGUACCUGUGCCAUUCAGCCACGAAGAAUCAACAUUCCGGAUGUCAUCAAAAUGCGUCUGAAGGAGCAACAUGUAAUUAAGAACGUGCGCCUAAGUAAAACAGCGUCCAUCUACUUAGGCCGCACAAUCUUAACUUGUCAGUAUGAAAGAAAGAAUCAUAAUAGCCAAAAAUCCGAGAAAGAAAUCUGCAAACUCUUCAAAAAGAAUUUCAAGAUUGGACACACUGGCUUCAAAACCUUUGCUUGACUGCGAAAGAUUGAAACAAGCAGAGACAGGCAAAAAGGAACAAAGAGGUGGUCAUGAUUGUGAAAUCAACAGUGUUAAGAUCCAAGAAAAAAAAAAACCUCGAUAGGAAUUCAAAAUUGACUACAAAAGACAGACUACAAAGUGGUGGUCAAGAUUGGGAAUGCGGCUAACAAAGGAUGACGGUCGAUAUGUCAGACUUUCACAAAGGAUCCCAACAAAAGAGGCACAACAGAAGCCUACAAUACAAUGAAGUAUGAGAGCAGCCCCGAAGAGUACUCCCACUUGCUUCGUUCUCUGAGAAGACCCCUUCGUCUCAUAUGCAACCAUAUGUAUCUUCGAUGCCCAGAAUGUGGAGAAAGAUUCCGAAGAUUACAUGUGGUUCUGUAUGUUCCAACUUAUCAUAGAUACCAUGAUGUCAGAGGAUGGCAAGGAAGAGACUUUGUAACAGACGCCCUGUAAAGAUUGCAGCCGGGUCUUAAAAUUGCUGUGUUUUUCCAGUGAACCACUCUACACCUUCGUCCCACAAUCUUAUUUACUCUCUUGUUAUUAAAUUGUACAUAUUUCAGGCAAAGGUUCGAUAAUUUUGAAGUAAAUAUUGUAAAAAAAAUAGCCAAUUUAUAUAAUGUUAAAAUAAAAAUUAAGAUAGAAACUACAGUUACUCGGGUUUCACGCUUAAAGCGAUCAUCAGACUGUGCGACGGUUUAAACUAAAUUGAAACUAAUUUUUGAACGGAGUACGGAGCGAUCCUGCUUCUGAUUGGCUGCAUAGAACUUAUUCACGUGCCUGCAUUUUGUUACAAGUUCAGAUAUUUUGUUUAGAGGUGUAGAUUUGCCCUUAGAUAGAAUGUAGCGUUUUUCUGUCACAGCUUCAAAACUAGAUACAAUAAUCACAAGCUUUCAUUUAAACAUCGCAAGCAUUCACAUGACACUGUCCUGUCCAACUAUAUCUGGGACUUGAAAGACAAUAACACUGAUUUCUCGAUCAAGAGGUCUAUUGUAACGCGAGCAAGUCCGUACAAGGGAACCUCGUCACGCUCCAAUUUGUGUCUGACAGAAGACAGAGUAACUGUAGUUUCUAUCUUAAUUUGUAUUUCGCUCUACAUGUAUUUGUAUCGAGCACUCCUACGAUUGUGUGAAACCACUUCUAUUUUUCUUUAUUUAUAAUAUUAAUAUAUAUAUAU
RNAcentral lists this long non-coding RNA (1835 nucleotides) under Orbicella faveolata. RNAcentral's name for it is "uncharacterized LOC110048165". The record is from RNAcentral. Lineage: Eukaryota; Metazoa; Cnidaria; Anthozoa; Scleractinia; Merulinidae.